This 1226-nucleotide long non-coding RNA is filed under the name Pelobates cultripes (western spadefoot toad). The record is from RNAcentral. Lineage: Eukaryota; Metazoa; Chordata; Amphibia; Anura; Pelobatidae.
AAUAGGUCAAACUGUUAUGUAUGUGGUAGUGCCAGACCUCAUCUAGGAACUGUACCUUUACAUGUCCCUGAUGAGUACUGGGAAUGUUUCCUAAGUUUGUUUUCAGGUAUCACUGUUAAUACUACAGGAUGUGAAGAAUGGAAAAAGGGUCACCCUAUUGGUGAACCCAAGUUUAAUUUAAAUGAUGUUGUCCCAGUAUAUCCUGGUAAUUAUACUUGUUUUCAGGGAAAUAAUAAUGGUAAGGUGGGUACACAAUUUGAUAACUUCUCUUCAGGAUUCUGUACCUUAGUGAAUCAAACACAAUCUGUGGGAGAUGUUUAUUGAAUAUGUGGCGAUAUGAAAAUACGUUCUAGACUCCCCACCCCUUGGAGAGGAGAAUGUGCCCCAGCCAAAAUAAUCAUGCCCCUCCAUAUAUUUAGCGACUCUCUCCCUGAAAUUAAGGUUGUAACUGAUUCCACAAGAAGGAAAAGGAAAUCCCCACAAGGUAGUUUCGACCCACAUAUCUAUCUAGAUGCCAUUGGUAUUCCAAGAGGGGUUCCUAAUGAAUUUAAAGCUAGAGAUGAGGUGGCAGCAGGAUAUGAAUCAAUAUUUCCCAUUAUAACAGCUAACAAGAAUGUUAACUGGAUUAAUUAUAUAUAUUAUAAUCAGCAAAGAUUUGUAAAUUAUACACGAGAUGCAUUACAAGGUCUUGCUGAACAAUUACAGGCUACCUCACAAAUGACUUUCCAGAAUAGAAUGGCCCUUGAUAUGAUUUUAGCAGAAAAGGGAGGAGUCUGUAAAUUACUUGACUCCGGUGUUUGUUGUACCUAUAUUGCAGAGAACACUGGCCCUAAUGGUAAAGUAACCCUAGCUAUAAAGAAAUUAGAAGACCUGUCCAUAGAAAUGAAGAGGAAUUCAGGUAUUGAUCACCCAUGGGCAGAUAUGUUUAAGUUUGACAGUAUCCUAGACUAGCUAAAGAAUAUUGCAAUAAUUAUUGUUAUGGUUCUGAUCCUUGCUCUACUUGUUUAUGCUAUUUUCAAGAUUAUUGUAUUCUGCAUUUACAAACAUACACGCAACACUGUUCCUGUAAAAUCCCCAGCUUGAUAUGAUGAGUAUCUCAAAAUGUAUACACAUAACCGAAGCAAUGGUGAACAUACUGAUACAGAUCUAUAAGUUUGUGGUACUGGUCAGAUGCCUAGUCCUAUGCUAUGGGAAUAGUGGCCGAAGACAUAAUGAAAGACCUGCAG